This 227-nucleotide long non-coding RNA is filed under the name Pan troglodytes (chimpanzee). RNAcentral's name for it is "long non-coding RNA NONPTRT014008". The record is from RNAcentral. Lineage: Eukaryota; Metazoa; Chordata; Mammalia; Primates; Hominidae.
UCACAGAUAAUUGAUGCAGGAUUAUUCACCAGAUUUGAACUGAUCCAAUCAGCCUCUCUCUUUCCGGAUGUUUGGUAAAUGAAAACCCAAAGCUGAAUGUCAUUGGAGUAAAUUCUCACUACCUUAAAAGCAUUGCGUUGUAGUUUAGCUCCCUCUUUCUUAAGUCCUGAUUACUUAGUUAUUUUCUUAAAUUUCAUAAACAAUGUUUCUGUUCCUUGACCAUUUUU